Molecule: non-coding RNA, 25 nt
Filed under: Arabidopsis thaliana (thale cress)
Lineage: Eukaryota; Viridiplantae; Streptophyta; Magnoliopsida; Brassicales; Brassicaceae
Source: RNAcentral
UGUAAGGAGUAAGCUUGUAGGUGUA